Molecule: transfer RNA, 84 nt
Filed under: Candidatus Gottesmanbacteria bacterium
Lineage: Bacteria; Candidatus Gottesmaniibacteriota
Description: tRNA-Tyr
Rfam family: tRNA
About the family: Transfer RNA (tRNA) molecules are approximately 80 nucleotides in length. Their secondary structure includes four short double-helical elements and three loops (D, anti-codon, and T loops).
Source: RNAcentral
GCUGGGGUGGCGGAGCAGCUAACGCACGUGACUGUAAAUCACGCGUCCUCACGGACUUCGGGGGUGCAAGUCCCUCCCCCAGCA